Molecule: ribosomal RNA, 440 nt
Filed under: uncultured bacterium
Lineage: Bacteria
Description: partial 16S ribosomal RNA
Rfam family: Bacterial small subunit ribosomal RNA
Source: RNAcentral
CCUACGGGAGGCUGCAGUGGGGGAUAUUGCACAAUGGGGGAAACCCUGAUGCAGCGACGCCGCGUGUGGGAAGACGGUCCUCUGGAUUGUAACACACUGUCCCCAGGGACGAAGAUGACGGUACCUGGGGAGGAAGCUACGGCUAACUACGUGCCAGCAGCCGCGGUAAUACGGAGGGAGCGAGCGUUGUCCGUAAUUACUGGGUGUAAAGGGAGCGUAGGCGGGGAUGCAAGUUGGGUGUCAAAACUACCGGCUCAACUGGUAGUCGCACUCAAAACUGCAGCUCUUGAGUGAAGUAGAGGCAGGCGGAAGUCCUAGUGUAGCGGUGAAAUGCGUAGAUAUUAGGAGGAACACCAGUGGCGAAGGCGGCCUGCUGGGCUUUUACUGACGCUGAGGCUCGAAAGUGUGGGGAGCAAACAGGAUUAGAUACCCGAGUAGUC